CAGGGAGUCCCACCAGCCUAGUGGCCAGACCUUCUGUGGGAUCACCGGACCCACCUGGAACCCCACUUGCUGGCCCUCACGGAAGAGCAACAGCUGAUGUUUGAGAAACUGACUCUGUAUUGCGACAGCUACAUCCAGCUCAUCCCCAUUUCCUUCGUGCUGGGUGAGUUCCCCCUUCCGGCUGUUCCGGGGGAGGAUCACGAGGAGCUGCGGCAAGGGGCUGGGGUGGCGGGCGGGGGAAAGCCAGCGGCAGGUCGGCGCCUCUCUGUAGUUCAGGGAAAGGUGCGGACUGCAGCCAGAGAAACUGAAGUUAGACGUUAGCUAAGACGUCCUGCCGUUAGCAAUGAAAACCCCAUUUUCUGAGGGAAGCGCUGACAUCAUGGUCCCUGGAGCCUCUGCACGGGAGGGGAGAGGGUCUGGCGGAUUUCUGGGACCAGCAUGGGGACCCCCGGGUGACAGACCCCUUGGGGCUCUCGCGCCUCCAUGCGAGGCUCUGCCUGCCUCCCGCUCCCGAGCGCCUUCCAGGAGGGUUGGGGGCUAGGCCUGCUCGCAGCAGAAAGCUGGAGGAGCCGAGGCAUCGCCGGGUGCUGGACCCUGGGCUCUGGCCGCAGCCUGGCCCCUCGCCCCUCGCCCCCCGCCCCUCCUGCCCAGGCUUCUACGUGACGCUGGUUGUGACCCGCUGGUGGAACCAGUACGAGAACCUGCCGUGGCCCGACCGCCUCAUGAGCCUGGUGUCGGGCUUCGUCGAAGGCAAGGACGAGCAAGGCCGGCUGCUGCGGCGCACGCUUAUCCGCUAUGCCAACCUGGGCAACGUGCUCAUUCUGCGCAGCGUCAGCACCGCCGUCUACAAGCGCUUCCCCAGCGCCCAGCACCUGGUGCAAGCAGGCUUUAUGACUCCAGCAGAACACAAGCAGUUGGAGAAACUGAGCUUACCACACAACAUGUUCUGGGUGCCCUGGGUGUGGUUUGCCAACCUGUCGAUGAAGGCGUGGCUUGGAGGUCGAAUCCGGGACCCUAUCCUGCUCCAGAGCCUGCUGAACGAGAUGAACACCUUGCGUACUCAGUGUGGACACCUGUAUGCCUACGACUGGAUUAGUAUCCCACUGGUGUAUACACAGGUGGUGACUGUGGCGGUGUACAGCUUCUUCCUGACUUGUCUAGUUGGGCGGCAGUUUCUGAACCCGGCCAAGGCCUACCCAGGCCAUGAGCUGGACCUCGUUGUGCCCGUCUUCACGUUCCUGCAGUUCUUCUUCUACGUUGGCUGGCUGAAGGUGAGCCUCUCCAGGGCCCCGCUGGGCUGGAGGCAUGGCCAGAGGGGUCAUGGCCAGCAGCUGCCUGAGAUGAGGAUGCAGUGUCAGGAAAGGAAAGUCUCAUGGGUAGAAAGUAGCCAGGCGUGGUGGUGCACGCCUGUAAUCCCAGCUACUCAGGAGGCUGAGGCAGGAGAAUCACUUGAACCCAGGAGGCAGAGAGGUUGUGGUGAGUUGAGAUUGUGCCACUGCACUCCAGCCAGGGCAAAAGAAUGAAACUCUGUCUCAAAAACAACAACAACAACAACAAAACAAAGCCCUAAGGUUCACUAGCCCCCGCCUUUUAGAAGGCAGAUUGGCACCACCUCUCCUUAUUCAAGAUGCCUCUUGGGCUGUCUUGUUCCUCACCUCAAGUGGCUUGUCCAGGUAUUCCCUCCCACCACAGCCAGUACUCCGAACAGGUGUUCUGAAUCACACAGUUUUCUCUCCACCUCUUUAUCUUUCCUUCCUUCUGUUGCCCACCCGCUCUCUCUCCCUUCCUACCCUCCUUUAUUUUUUGGUAGUGGGUGUAAAUCUCUGUCUCUGCCCUUCCUGUCGCUGUGACACACACACACACAGACACACACACACACACACGUGCAUUCCUAUUCCUCUAAAUUCCCCCUGCCCCGCAGUUAUCUUUGGUUUCUACAGAUCAAAACAAAUCACACUUUUGUGCUUGAAAUUCUCCAGGGUGCCCCAGUGGCCUGCAAGAUGUCCCCUGGACCCCUAAGGCAGAGGCGUGUCACCUCUUCGGGGCUUUGUUAGGGCAUUUUAGAGAUUGCUGUCCAGGAAUCUGCCCACCUAGACCGACCUUUAGUUCAGCCCAGCUUCAGUAUAUAUCUCUGUUGCAUGAAUGAAUAAAAUUAUGCAACUCCAGGUAAGAUACAUGAGGUGAGAUAAAGACGGUGACUCAGCUGAGUGAUACACUCAGGGACAGCUGUUGGUGUUCAGGGAAGGACUGGCUCAGAAGAGUUAGAGGGGCUGUGUCCAGAAGUGUGUGGGUGCCCACAAGUGUGGGGGGCUGGAGCCCUAAACUCUGCCUUUGAAGACAGUGGUCAGGCAGGAAGGGUGUCAUGGGGUGUGGAAAUGGCAGCAGCUGAGGUUUAAAGGGGGAGGCUGGCUUUGAGGAGUUCUGCCUGAGGGUUUACAGAGCCUCGCCUGUCCCCAAGGUGGCAGAGCAGCUCAUCAACCCCUUUGGAGAGGAUGAUGAUGAUUUUGAGACCAACUGGAUCGUCGACAGGAAUUUGCAGGUGUCCCUGUUGGCUGUGGAUGAGAUGCACCAGGACCUGCCUCGGAUGGAGCCGGACAUGUACUGGAAUGAGCCCGAGCCACAGCCCCCCUACACAGCUGCUUCCGCCCAGUUCCGUCGAGCCUCCUUUAUGGGCUCCACCUUCAACAUCAGGUGUGGCCAGUGCCAGGGGGCUGGGUGGGAAGCCCCUCCUAGUGCAGGGGUCUGCCUAGGAACUUAGAAUAGCACUAGUUAACACAUACAGGGUGCCUCAGUAAGUGUCAGGCACUGUACUAUGCUCUUUAUAAAUAUUAACUAUUUUUUCCUUCCAAUAAUUCUGGUUUGUUAUCCCAAGUUUUCAGACAAUUAAAGUACAGGUUCAGAGAGAGUAAGUUGUCCAAGGCCACAUAGCUACCAAAUGGUGCAUUUGCUACUCGAAGGACAGCCUGUGAUCAGUGAUGCAGUGGAACAUUAGGACCUGGCUCCUGUCAUCCAGAACUAUGUUUUCUUUUCUUUUUGAGACAGAGUCUUGCUCUGUCGCCCAGGUUGGAGCGCAGUGGCGUGAUCUUGGCUCACUGCAACCUCCGCCUCCUGGGUUCAAGUGCUUCAGCCUCCCCAGUAGCUGGAAUUACAGGUGCCCACAACCACAACUGGCUACUUUUUGUACUUUUAGUAGAGAUGAGGUUUCACCAUGUUGGCCAGGCUGGUCUCGAACUCCUGACCAGUAAUCUGCCUGCUUUGGCCUCCCAAAGUGCUGGAAUUAUAUGUGUCAAAACUAUGUUUUCUGAUAAGCUACGGUGCUUGGAUGGGAAGUGGAAGUGGGGUUCCCUGGGAUGGGGGAGGGGCAGCAAAUGUCCCAGCAGGCAGCCAGGCCAUCACAGAUACCUCCUGAAUUGACUUUGUCCUACCGAGUAAAGGGUUCAGGUCACCCACAGCAGCCAGACUUAUCCCUAUAUGGUCCCACUUCCCUGAUUCCAUCUGAAUCCCUCUUGAGCUGCAGUGGGCUGAAGGGCUAUCCCAGCUGGUCCUUUCUCCCCACGAUAACAGAGUUGAAAGUGCCUUGGAGAGUGACAUUUCAGGGUUCAUACUCAAGGGUUUCUUCCACGGUAUCCAGUAUUGUUCUCGCUUGUUCUUUUCUCUUUUUUUUUUUUAAACGGAGUUUCGCUCUUGUUGCCCAGGCUGGAGUGCAGUGGCACAAUCUCAGCUCACUGCAACCUCUUCCUCCCAGAUUCAAGCAAUUCUCCUGCCUCAGCCUCCUGAGUAGCUGGGAUUAUAGGUGCCAGCUACCAAGCCCGGCUAAUUUUUGUAUUUUUAGUAGAGACAGUUUCACCAUGUUGGCCAGGCUGGUCUCGAACUCCUGACCUCAGGUGAUCCACCCUCCUCAGCCUCCCCAAGUGCUGGGAUUAUAGGUGUGACCCACUGUGCCUGGCUGCUGCUUCUUUUAAGAACCAAAUAUCCUACUAGACUGCAAUCGAGUUUAACUAGAGUCUAUAGAUAGUGUGAGGAAGGGUUGGGAAGGUGAUCAAAUGAAGGCUGGAGGCUUGCUUAGGUCAGAAACAUUUCUGGAGGAUGACUUUGCGCCCUACAUGGUCUGUACCCCAGCAGCUGAAGGUUGUUGGGGCGGGGGGGGGGAAGGCUGAAAACAGAACGAUAAAGCAUAGACCUCAUCUCCAAGGAAUGUGCAAUUUACGGAGGGAGCUCAAACCCAAGCCUCAAACUCUGGAUACAAGGUACAAAGUACUGGAUGUCCAGGAAAGGGACAGAACAUAGAACACAGUCAUCUUUGUCUGCCUGGGAGGCGGCUUCCAGCUGGGUCUGGAGCUGGACCGUGGAACAUGGGAAGAAUCUGAACUUGGGCAAGGGCAGGCCAUACUCUGUGGUAGAUAAGCUUUCCCUUGCAGGGUAAAGGUCUUGGGCUCCCGGGAUGCCUGUUGCUAGGAAGCCAAAUUUCUCUUUGUGGAUGUCACUCCCAGUUGGAACCACAAAUCCCUGGCAUUGCCCAGAGUCACUCAUGGGCCUCAUCUGAACCACUCAUGCCAGGGCACCAGUGUUUCUGACUGCCUGGAGUGAGGGGUUUUACAGGGGAAGUGAAUGAUGAGGAGGCCUUUACACGCCAGGCAGGGUGGUUGGGGGGGUUGGAUGUUAACUCUGGUCAAGAGGGAAUCAACAGUGAGGUGAGCUGGGCCUGGAGGGAUCACCAGGAGGUACAGGACGGAUCAGGAGAGAGGUGAGAGCUGGGGCAUGGUGAGGAAGAUGGUGUGGCCUUGGCUUGGGCCAGCCGAGAGAGAGGAGCGGGGGUAAGGGAGAAGUAAGGCCAGGUGUCGGUCCUUUGUCCACUGGCUCAGCCCUGCAUCUCCUGCUUCUUUCCAGCCUGAACAAAGAGGAGAUGGAGUUCCAGCCCAAUCAGGAGGAUGACGAGGACGCUCAUGCUGGCAUCAUUGGCCGCUUCCUAGGGCUGCAGUCCCAUGAUCACCAUCCUCCCAGGGCAAACUCAAGGACCAAACUACUGUGGCCCAAGAGGGAAUCCCUUCUCCACGAGGGCCUGCCCAAAAACCACAAGGCAGCCAAACAGAACGUUAGGGGCCAGGAAGACAAGGCCUGGAAGCUUAAGGCUGUGGACGCCUUCAAGUCUGCCCCACUGUAUCAGAGGCCAGGCUACUACAGUGCCCCACAGACGCCCCUCAGCCCCACUCCCAUGUUCUUCCCCCUAGAACCAUCAGCGCCGUCAAAGCUUCACAGUGUCACAGGCAUAGACACCAAAGACAAAAGCUUAAAGACUGUGAGUUCUGGGGCCAAGAAAAGUUUUGAAUUGCUCUCAGAGAGUGAUGGGGCCUUGAUGGAGCACCCAGAAGUAUCUCAAGUGAGGAGGAAAACCGUGGAGUUUAACCUGAUGGAUAUGCCAGAGAUCCCUGAAAAUCACCUCAAAGAACCUUUGGAACAAUCACCAACCAACAUACACACUACACUCAAAGAUCACAUGGAUCCUUAUUGGGCCUUGGAAAACAGGGAUGAAGCACAUUCCUAACCUGCUUCCUAACGGGGAUGCUUCGCCAGACAGGUCCUCACCUGUGUACACCAGCAGGACACUGAUCCAGUCACAGCCAUACAGCUGUCCACACUGAAGAACAUGUCCUACAACAGUCUGAAUCAAAUGGUUAGCUUAAUAGAUAAAAAUCCCAGGACUACUUCAGCCUUU
This 5713-nucleotide small RNA is filed under the name Pongo abelii (Sumatran orangutan). Its description in RNAcentral is "retained intron". The record is from RNAcentral. Lineage: Eukaryota; Metazoa; Chordata; Mammalia; Primates; Hominidae.